GAAUAAAAAAAUACAUCACAUGCUUUACUUUCACCUUUUGUAAUCUGAUAUAUAUUUUAUAUGACACAACAGGUAAAAUUGGCUUAAAAUCAACACAACUGAAAUAAAAUCAAAGCGCAAGCAUAUAAAAGUUCAAUGUUUAAUCAGCAGAGACAGAAUGUCAGUGUGUUCACUUUUUAUUAUUUGCAAGAAAGUAAAAUGAUUACAUGGCUAAAUUGAACUAUUUUGUGAAAAGUAAGGAUGAUAAAUUCAUAUUUUCCGAGAUUGCGAGAUGCUAUUGGUUGGAUGCUGUUACAGCACACUUUUCUUCUACUGUGGGGAAAAUAGAUGUUUAAUAUGUCAAUGUUUUGUGUGUGUGUGUGUGUGUGUGGGGGAGGUUAGUAUAUGUAUUUCUAAUAGUGCUAUAGAUAUGGACUAUAUCAGAAACAGCCUAGUAAUUCAUGCAAACAUGCAAUAAAAUCUAAUCAAAUAAGGCUAUAAAUUAUGUGUGAUAAGGGGGAAUUAAUCAGGGAAUAAGUAUUGAAAUUUUGAAGAAAAAG
Molecule: long non-coding RNA, 539 nt
Organism: Xiphophorus hellerii (green swordtail)
Lineage: Eukaryota; Metazoa; Chordata; Actinopteri; Cyprinodontiformes; Poeciliidae
Exons: 2
Source: RefSeq, a predicted model, not a curated record